AAACUACAGCUAAUACCGCAUGAUGACUGAGGUCCAAAGGCGCAAGUCGCCUGGAGAGGAGCCUGCGUACGAUUAGCUUGUUGGUGGGGUAAAGGCCUACCAAGGCGACGAUCGUUAGCUGGUCUGAGAGGAUGAUCAGCCACAUUGGGACUGAGACACGGCCCAAACUCCUACGGGAGGCAGCAGUGGGGAAUAUUGGACAAUGGGCGAAAGCCUGAUCCAGCAAUGCCGCGUGUGUGAAGAAGGUCUUCGGAUUGUAAAGCACUUUCGACGGGGACGAUGAUGACGGUACCCGUAGAAGAAGCCCCGGCUAACUUCGUGCCAGCAGCCGCGGUAAUACGAAGGGGGCUAGCGUUGCUCGGAAUGACUGGGCGUAAAGGGCGCGUAGGCGGAUGGCACAGUCAGAUGUGAAAUUCCCGGGCUUAACCUGGGGGCUGCAUUUGAUACGUGUGAUCUAGAGUGAGGAAGAGGGUCGUGGAAUUCCCAGUGUAGAGGUGAAAUUCGUAGAUAUUGGGAAGAACACCGGUGGCGAAGGCGGCGACCUGGUCCUUUACUGACGCUGAGGCGCGAAAGCGUGGGGAGCAAACAGGAUUAGAUACCCUGGUAGUCCACGCUGUAAACGAUGUGUGCUGGAUGUUGGGCGACCUAGUCGCUCAGUGUCGUAGCUAACGCGAUAAGCACACCGCCUGGGGAGUACGGCCGCAAGGUUGAAACUCAAAGGAAUUGACGG
This 730-nucleotide ribosomal RNA is filed under the name uncultured bacterium. RNAcentral's name for it is "bacterial SSU rRNA". It matches the Rfam family "Bacterial small subunit ribosomal RNA", at positions 154 to 916 of the family's 1533-position model. The record is from RNAcentral.